AGAUUUACCUGACGGGGGAGACACCUUGAUCAUGAAGGAGGUUUUCCCAGGAUGAGGUUCAGCCAUCGCUCUCUGGUUGUGCUGACCCCUGCAAUUUCCCCAAAUGCGGGAAANCCGACUGCAUAAUUUGUGAUAGUGAGGGACUGCGUGCACACUUUCCCCAG
RNAcentral lists this small nuclear RNA (164 nucleotides) under Salvator merianae (Argentine black and white tegu). RNAcentral's name for it is "U1 spliceosomal RNA (ENSSMRG00000001027.1)". It matches the Rfam family "U1 spliceosomal RNA". From Rfam's summary of the family: U1 is a small nuclear RNA (snRNA) component of the spliceosome (involved in pre-mRNA splicing). Its 5' end forms complementary base pairs with the 5' splice junction, thus defining the 5' donor site of an intron. Lineage: Eukaryota; Metazoa; Chordata; Lepidosauria; Squamata; Teiidae. The record is from RNAcentral.